RNAcentral lists this ribosomal RNA (497 nucleotides) under uncultured bacterium. RNAcentral's name for it is "partial 16S ribosomal RNA". It matches the Rfam family "Bacterial small subunit ribosomal RNA", at positions 28 to 507 of the family's 1533-position model. The record is from RNAcentral.
GAUGAACGCUGGCGGCGUGCCUAAUACAUGCAAGUCGAGCGAACGGACGAGAAGCUUGCUUCUCUGAUGUUAGCGGCGGACGGGUGAGUAACACGUGGAUAACCUACCUAUAAGACUGGGAUAACUUCGGGAAACCGGAGCUAAUACCUGAUAAUAUUUUGAACCGCAUGGUUCAAAAGUGAAAGACGGUCUUUCUGUCACUUAUAGAUGGAUCCGCGCUGCAUUAGCUAGUUGGUAAGGUAACGGCUUACCAAGGCAACGAUGCAUAGGCGACCUGAGCGGGUGAUCGGCCACCCUGGAACUGAGACACGGUCCAGACUCCUACGGGAGGCAGCAGUAGGGAAUCUUCCGCAAUGGUCGAAAGCCUGACGGAGCAACGCCGCGUGAGUGAUGAAGGUCUUCGGAUCGUAAAACUCUGUUAUUAGGGAAGAACAUAUGUGUAAGUAACUGUGCACAUCUUGACGGUACCUAAUCAGAAAGCCACGGCUAACUACGUG